AUACCAUGAUGAGGACAAUUACGGAUCAACUGAUUGAACCGCUUCCAUGACUCAUACAACAACUCACCUGGAAGUUGUUGAAACUCUCUAAGUGC
Molecule: non-coding RNA, 95 nt
Organism: Helianthus annuus (common sunflower)
Lineage: Eukaryota; Viridiplantae; Streptophyta; Magnoliopsida; Asterales; Asteraceae
Source: Rfam